Molecule: ribosomal RNA, 448 nt
Filed under: uncultured bacterium
Lineage: Bacteria
Description: SSU rRNA
Rfam family: Bacterial small subunit ribosomal RNA
Source: RNAcentral
AGAACGAACGCUGGCGGCAGGCCUCAAACAUGCAAGUCUAGGGGGUGUAGCAAUACAUCACCGGCGGACGGGUGCGUAACACGUGGGAAUGUACCUACUGGUUCGGAACAACGCAGGGAAACUUGCGCUAAUACCGAAUAAGCCCGAAAGGGGAAAGAUUUAUCGCCAGUAGAUCAGCCCGCGUAGGAUUAGCUAGUUGGUGGGGUAAUGGCCCACCAAGGCUCCGAUCCUUAGCUGUUCUGAGAGGAAGAUCAGCCACACUGGGACUGAGACACGGCCCAGACUCCUACGGGAGGCAGCAGUUGGGAAUCUUGGACAAUGGGGGAAACCCUGAUCCAGCCAUGCCGCGUGAGUGAUGGAGGCCUUCGGGUUGUAAAACUCUUUCGACGGGGACGAUAAUGACGGUACCCGUAGAAGAAGCACCGGCCAACUAUGUGCCAGCAGCCGC